AGAAAGAAUGUGGUGAGAGAAUAUUAGAAGAAAUAAUGACUGAAAACUUCCAGAGUUUGGCACAAGACAUUAAACUUACAGAUUCAAGAAACCAAAGAAGCCAGAGACAUCCAAAGGGUUCCCCGUUCUCCUCCAUGGAUGUGCCCAGAUCCCUACAUCUGAAGAUGUGCUCAGGUCUGCUGAGAUCCCAGGGGGCUGACUCCAGAGGAGUUUUCCUGGAUGGCACGUGGAACUCACCCUGCUGUGGGCUCUAGUGCAUGCUUACCCUUUGGGUUCAUCUAGGGCACCAAGAAACUCAGUUUUGAAACAGCCAAGAUGGAUUUAAAAAAAAGAGAGAGAGCGCAUCCCUAACGGAGGGCCCAGAAUGCAAGGGACACCUGUGCAGUGGGCGGAUAAUCUAACUCCUGGAACCUUCUUGGCCUUGGGAAAGAACCAGCACCAUAGAUUCUCGUUCUUUGACUUCUUGGUUGACUCAGAUCCUUGAGCGUUCACAGCAUCUGACCUAGUGGGGACUGAGAGAUUCCAGUAGUUCCUCCUCUUCUCUAGGUGAUGGACUGUGCACAUGGCCACCAGGACCAGGAUUCACUGUGAGCUGGGCCCACUUUUGGCAGGCACAAAGCCAAACCGGGCAGCAUUUGUGCUGCAUCUGACACUCAAGCUAGAGCCGAAGUGGAGCUUCUUAGAAUUGUACGUUUCUUAGGUCCUGUGCUGUGCCCUCCUCAUCAGUUACUGGAGAAGCAGAUGGCUGUAAGCCCUUUGGGCCGUGUGUAGUAUGUCUGAGUAAGUGACAGUACGUUUCCUGAGCCGGGCCGUAAUACUACUACGGUGGUGAAUAUUCAAAAAGACAUCUGUCCGUCUUUCCUUCUGUGUUUCAAUUUUCCUAUGGCCCCCAAAGAGUGGGCAUUAUAGAAGCCGCUGUCUUCAGAAGAGGCCUAGGCCAGACGGCUCAUUUGGGUGACUGUCCAUGCCCAGAAGGUGUAGUCAGAGCCUCCCUCAGACCAGACCCCUGGAAGACUGUGGCUCUUUCUUAGAGUGUUCUGUCCCUGGGGUGUUCUUAGUGCUGCGGGCUCCGUUUUCAGCCUGGAAGAGGACCCCGAGGAAUCUGUUAGGUCUGGGCUAUCUCCAGCUUGUGCUGAUUUACACCCGGGGCUCCUGGGAGCCAGGGAAGCCAUGCCUGUGGGCCACUGCUGCAGCCAGAGCUGCUGAAAGAGGAGCCGAAGCCGCGGCCGGUAGCCCACCGAGGUGCUGAGAGGAGCUGCGCUCAAGUUUGACCUCUCAGAGCUCUUCUAAGGCGUCCAGUCCCCACUGGAGAAUAAGUCAAACAAAUGUUAAGGAAAGGAAAUCGAAUAUGUGUGCUGAACGUUGGAGUAACAUCUGAGCGUUUUAAAAGAGUGCCCAGUUGGGAAUUACAAUCGAGUGACACUUUUUUCUUCCCCACUGAGCAAAUUAAAAUGACAAGCUCAGAAUUUAUUUACCUAGCCAUUAAUGAAACGUCAAAUGUUCCCUGUCCCAAAGAGGGGGGAGUGUGCUGCCUGCUGGCACACCUUCCCACUGAGGUGUCCCCUCCUUACCGACUUGCAUCCCAGAUAAGGCAGGUGAGUCGGUUUCAUUAGAUUCAUUUUCCCUAAACGCUUAUUCUGUGCGGGGCAGUACUGGG
Hyaena hyaena (striped hyena) is the source of this 1657-nucleotide long non-coding RNA. RefSeq lists it as uncharacterized. The record is from RefSeq and is a predicted model, not a curated record. The transcript is spliced from 2 exons. NCBI's taxonomy places the organism in Eukaryota, Metazoa, Chordata, Mammalia, Carnivora, Hyaenidae.